GACAGAGGGGGCAAGCGUUGUCCGGAAUUACUGGGCGUAAAGCGCGCGCAGGCGGCCUACCAUGUGCCUGGUGACAGUCCGCCGCUCAACGGCGGGAGGCCUGGGUAGACAGGUGGGCUAGCGGCAGGGAGAGGGCAGUGGAAUACCCGGUGGAGCGGUGAAAUGCGUAGAGAUCGGGUGGAACACCAGUGGCGAAGGCGGCUGCCUGGCCCUGAAACGGACGCUGAGGCGCGACAGCGUGGGGAGCAAACGGG
Molecule: ribosomal RNA, 254 nt
Filed under: uncultured bacterium
Lineage: Bacteria
Description: partial 16S ribosomal RNA
Rfam family: Bacterial small subunit ribosomal RNA
Source: RNAcentral